GACGAACGCUGGCGGCGUGCUUAACACAUGCAAGUCGAACGGUGAAGCGCCUUCCUUUUUGGUGGGUGUGGAUGAGUGGCGAACGGGUGAGUAACACGUGAGUAACCUGCCCCCUUCUUCUGGAUAACCGCAUGAAAGUGUGGCUAAUACGGGAUAUUCUGGGUCUGUCGCAUGAUGGGUCUGGGAAAGAUAUUGUUUCGGUGGGGGAUGGGCUCGCGGCCUAUCAGCUUGUUGGUGGGGUGAUGGCCUACCAAGGCGGUGACGGGUAGCCGGCCUGAGAGGGUGGACGGUCACACUGGGACUGAGACACGGCCCAGACUCCUACGGGAGGCAGCAGUGGGGAAUAUUGCACUAUGGGCGCAAGCCUGAUGCAGCGACGCCGCGUGAGGGAUGGAGGCCUUCGGGUUGUGAACCUCUUUCGCCAGUGAAGCAGGCCUGCCUCGUUUGUGGGUGGGUUGACGGUAGCUGGAUAAGAAGCGCCGGCUAACUACGUG
Molecule: ribosomal RNA, 494 nt
Filed under: uncultured bacterium
Lineage: Bacteria
Description: partial 16S ribosomal RNA
Rfam family: Bacterial small subunit ribosomal RNA
Source: RNAcentral